AUACCGCUGGUGUACCAGUUGUUCCGCCAGGAGCAUCGCUGGGUAGCUACGUAUGGACGGGAUAAGUGCUGAAAGCAUCUAAGCAUGAAGCCCCCCUCAAGAUGAGAUUUCCCAUGGCGUAAGCCAGUAAGACCCCUUAGAGAUGAUGAGGUUGAUAGGUCAGAAGUGGAAGCGUGGCGACACGUGGAGCGGACUGAUACUAAUCGGUCGAGGACUUAUCCUAU
Molecule: ribosomal RNA, 224 nt
Filed under: Shouchella clausii
Lineage: Bacteria; Bacillati; Bacillota; Bacilli; Caryophanales; Bacillaceae
Description: Bacillus clausii partial 23S ribosomal RNA
Rfam family: Bacterial large subunit ribosomal RNA
Source: RNAcentral